AAAAACUCCGGUGGUGUAAGAUGGAUCCGCGUCUGAUUAGCUGGUUGGCGGGGUAGAAGCCCACCAAGGCGACGAUCAGUAGCCGGCCUGAGAGGGUGAACGGCCACAUUGGGACUGAGACACGGCCCAAACUCCUACGGGAGGCAGCAGUGGGGAAUAUUGCACAAUGGGGGAAACCCUGAUGCAGCAACGCCGCGUGAGUGAAGAAGUCAUUCGUGAUGUAAAGCUCUAUCAGCAGGGAAGAAAAUGACGGUACCUGAGUAAGAAGCCCCGGCUAACUACGUGCCAGCAGCCGCGGUAAUACGUAGGGGGCAAGCGUUAUCCGGAUUUACUGGGUGUAAAGGGAGCGUAGACGGCCAGACAAGUCUGAAGUGAAAAUCCAGCGCUUAACGUUGGAAGUGCUUUGGAAACUGCCGGGCUAGAGUGCAGGAGGGGCAGGCGGAAUUCCUAGUGUAGCGGUGAAAUGCGUAGAUAUUAGGAGGAACACCAGUGGCGAAGGCGGCCUGCUGGACUGCAACUGACGUCGAGGCUCGAAGGCGUGGGGAGCAAACAGGAUUAGAUACCCUGGUAGUCCACGCGGUAAACGAUGAUUACUAGGUGUCGGGGGGCUAGAGCCCUUCG
Molecule: ribosomal RNA, 621 nt
Filed under: uncultured bacterium
Lineage: Bacteria
Description: bacterial SSU rRNA
Rfam family: Bacterial small subunit ribosomal RNA
Source: RNAcentral